AAGUCGUAACAAGGUUUCCGUAGGUGAACCUGCGGAAGGAUCAUUAUCGUACAACAGGAGGUGCCCCAGGUUGUCGCUGACCCUAGGUCGUGCACGCCUCGAGCAUUCUUACUCCUCAUCCACCUCACCCUUGUGCAUCCCCGCGUGGGCUUCUCUUUCGAGAGAGCCUACGUCUUUUCACAUAAACACAAACCAGUUCAGAAUGUUCUUUGCAUUUGUAUGUGCAGUUAAUACAACUUUCAACAACGGAUCUCUUGGCUCUCGCAUCGAUGAAGGACGCAGCGAAAUGCGAUACGUAAUGUGAAUUGCAGAAUUCAGUGAAUCAUCGAAUCUUUGAACGCACCUUGCGCCCCUUGGCAUUCCGAAGGGCACACCCGUUUGAGUGUCGUGAAGUUCUCAACCUUCUUCAUUUCUUUCUUGACUUGGGGAAAGGCUUGGAUUUUGGAGGCUUUUGCCGGACUCUCUUGAUCGAGAUCGGCUCCUCUUAAACGGAUUAGCAGGAUCCCUUUUUUCGCUGGUCCUCGACGUGAUAAGGUUUCUUCUACGUCUGGAACUUAGCUUAUGAGGCUUGCUUCUAAUCGUCUCUUCGAGACAGUUGGUCAGACCUCUCUCCGUCUGACCUGCUUUUGAACCCCUUUGACCUCAAAUCGGGUGAGACUACCCGCUGAACUUAA
Molecule: ribosomal RNA, 674 nt
Filed under: Lactarius sp. Nan-MN15
Lineage: Eukaryota; Fungi; Basidiomycota; Agaricomycetes; Russulales; Russulaceae
Also listed under: 1 other name
Description: eukaryotic LSU rRNA
Rfam family: 5.8S ribosomal RNA (bases 235-388)
Source: RNAcentral